CUGGUUCACAGUCCAGCUCUGCCAUCCCUAGCAUGAUACCUGGUGAGGAGAAUAGGGCAAAGGACUUAAAUGACUUGCCCAGCAUCGUGACACUGUUGUGUGUGGACGGCAGAACUCAAGCCAGGAUUUCAAACUUCAAACAUCCCCUACCAUCCUACCUGGGGGUCCUCAGGGUCAGUGCUUCCUAUGUGCCAGUUAUUGGAGUGACACCUUCAAAAGUUUUGCCAUUUCCACAUACC
Molecule: long non-coding RNA, 239 nt
Filed under: Homo sapiens (human)
Lineage: Eukaryota; Metazoa; Chordata; Mammalia; Primates; Hominidae
Description: non-protein coding lnc-GDF10-3:1
Source: RNAcentral